UCUACAGAUUUAAUUUAGAUUUAUUUUACAGUUUAUGAACAUUAGCAAGACAAGAAAUAGAAUAUGGAGAUACCAGAUUUAUUAGAAUAUACAGAUACACAGAUACGCGAUUAAAUAGCAAAACCAAAGUUAGCAUUUCUGGUACAGAAUGACCAACGUUGAAAGGAUUCUUUCUAUCACACCACAACUUUUACAACCUAUCUAAUACAAUGAUCACACAAGUCCCUAACCUACAAUUCUAAAACACAAUCUGCC
Molecule: long non-coding RNA, 255 nt
Filed under: Salvia miltiorrhiza (redroot sage)
Lineage: Eukaryota; Viridiplantae; Streptophyta; Magnoliopsida; Lamiales; Lamiaceae
Description: long non-coding RNA (SMIL_LNC001285)
Source: RNAcentral